Long non-coding RNA from Musca domestica (house fly), 3259 nucleotides. RefSeq lists it as uncharacterized. NCBI's taxonomy places the organism in Eukaryota, Metazoa, Arthropoda, Insecta, Diptera, Muscidae. The record is from RefSeq and is a predicted model, not a curated record. The transcript has 3 exons.
UGUUGUUGUUGGUGAAAGAUAAAAUAAUUGCAAACAAAAUUGUAAGUACUAAAGAAUUGACUGGUGUAUGCAAAAUAAAAUCUGAACUACACCAACAACUCAAUGUCACUAGAGGCACCAUUUACGCUCCAUAUCUCAACAAUGUCCCUGAAAAAGAGAUCAUUACUGAACUCUCUGAUCAGGGUGUUGUUGACGUUUAUAAAUAUGAGAAAUUAGUGGAUGGAAAGAGAAUUAAAACAGGAGUGAUUCAUGUCACUUUCGAUCUCUAUAACAUGCCAGUAAAAUUACAAAUUGCGUAUCACUCAGCCUUCGUAAAAGAGCACUACCCGAACCCCAUGAGAUGUAAACAAUGUCAAUUGUUAGGGCACACAGGAAAACGAUGCAAAAAUCCACCAUUAUGUGCAAAUUGCAGUUUGCCCCCUCACUCUCCAAAUUAUUGCACACGCAUUCUCUGUGCCAAUUGCAACGAGAACCAUCCAUCGUCAUCAAACAGUUGCAAAUUAUACAAGCAACAAAAAGAAAUUUUAAAACUAAAAACAAUAAACAAAUGUUCGAUGAAAGAAGCAUUGCGUUUGUAUGAAAACCAACCAACAACAGACAUUCUUUCUAACACCUUCUCUAAUGUAGUGGCUGGAAAUGAAAUAAACAAAUUAUCAACAAAUAAAACAACAACAAAUACAUCGACUACGUCAAUUAUAGAAACUACUCCAAAAGCACAAAUCAAUAACUUAUUAAAAACUCCAACAACAAACCUACCAUCACUGCCUCUCAAUCAACAACAACUCCCAACCCAACAAAUAAUAUUUGAAGAACAACAAUAACAACAACCACAAAUACCAUAAGCAAACCUUCGAAUCUUACUCGUAAUAAUUCAAACCCAAAAAUAAAAAUAAACAAACCUCUGUCAACUACAGCGAGUACCACUAACUGUACUAAAAACGUUUCAAUAAGUAACCUCAACACCACAAAAUUACAACAAAAACCAAAUGCACUUAUUAAUGAGCCACCGUCAACAUCUGGUUUCUCUUUACCGAAACAGAGACAAAAUUCAAUUUAAAAUAUCCACAACGCAAUAACAGCAAUGGACACAAAUACCGAUCAUUCAUCUGAUGAAUAAUCUUCAUUAUAAUCUCUUAUGGGAUUGGAAAUUUUGCAGUGGAACAUCAGAGGAUACUGUAAUAACUUACUUUCGGAUACUGAUGCUGAUAUUGUUUGUUUGCAAGAAACAAAAUGCAAACAAAGUCAUACACCAUGUACUCCAAAAAAAUAUAUUGGUUACUUCUUCAAUAGAUACAAUUCUUCUAAGGAAGGAGUUGCCAUACUUAUCAAAAAAAGUAUUCCUCACCAAAUUAUCAAUUCCACCUCUCCACUGUGUUGUACCUCUGUUCAAAUUAAUCUUUCCAUUCGUUUUACUAUUCUAUCUCUCUACCUUCCACCACAGGAAACAAUACAUCCUUCAAUGCUUGACUCUCUUAUCACCAACAUAUUACCCCCUGUUCUUAUCCUGGGGGAUCUAAAUGCCUGGAUUAGUCUCCCAGCUAACAAUUUUUUCCGAGGGCUCUGAUGUCCGAUUUUUUGUCGAGAUUUUCAGACGUUUCUUCAGAAAAGUUUCCGAGUAAUCUGCACAUACUCGUUUCUUUUGUUUUGUUUGAACAAAACAAAGCAAAAGAGAAAAAAACAUCGUAUACAGAGAGUUAACUCUUUUUUGGCGAGAAUUUCUAAUGUUACUCCAGAAAAGUUUCCGAGUAAUCUGCACAUACUCGUUUCUUUUGUUUUGAAAAAAAAAACACAAAAAUUCUGACAUUAGCAGAGAGUUAACUUUUUUCUGUUGAGAUUUAUUUUACCGUUCCUUUCGAAAAGUUUCCGAGUACUCUGCACAUGCUCGGUUGAAAUUAUUUGAAGAAUUUUGUGUAUACAACUUUUUUGUUUUUUUUGAUUAUGAUCAGUUUGUCGUCAGAAUUUGUACGGAGCACGAGUGCAGUGUGUUGCAGUGAAAAGUUAAAAUGAAAAUUAAAGGAAGAUUUGGACCUUCAGUACCUUAUGCUACGCCGUUUAAAAAAUCAACGCCAUGACUUUUACAUAUGAAAAUUUUAGACUUAUUUUUCAAACUGGCGAGGUCAACGUUUUCGUGGCACGAAAUGUACCAAAAUACAGCUGUAAAGGACAUCUAAUUUAUUAGGCUCGUUAAAGAUGCGGCAUUGGAACAUAUUCCGGAAACUAUGGGAAGUGCCAUAUAAACCCAUAUAAAACAUUUCUUCAAAUCGGCUAAAGAUAGGCUUAACAAACCUUAACCUGGGCCAAAAUCGAACUCAGUCAACCUUAAACUCCUUUGUUCAUCUGAGAAUAAGCCAGCUGAUGACUUGAGCCAGCCAAAUAUGCGCUUCAUAUAUUUUCACCCUUAAUUAUAUUGAUUUACAUUGAAUUGCAACUUUUUAUGUUUUUUAUAUAUUAAUUUCCGUAUUCCUUAUAUUUUACAAAAAAAAAAAAAACUGAAUACAAAUGUUCUGUCAUUAAAUUGAAAAAUACAAACAUAAACAAUUAUCUAAAAACUAGAUAAAGUUUUAUUAUUUCUUUAUGUUUUUCGAUUACAACUAUAAAAUAAAUGUAGAUUUUUUUGCGAAUUUCGUAUCAAACAUCCUAUUAUUUUCCGAUUUUCGAAUGAAUUAUUCGAAUUUUUCCCGAUUUUCGGAUAAAACUAUAGAAUAAAUUCAGAUUUUUUUCCGAAUUUCGAAUCAAACAUCCGAAAAUUUUCAGAAUUUCGUAUCAAACAUCCUAUUAUUUUCCGAUUUUCGAAUGAAUUAUUCGAAUUUUUCCCGAUUUUCGGAUAAAACUAUAGAAUAAAUUCAGAUUUUUUUCCGAAUUUCGAAUCAAACAUCCGAAAAUUUUCAGAAUUUCGUAUCAAACAUCCUAUUAUUUUCCGAUUUUCGAAUGAAUUAUUCGAAUUUUUCCCGAUUUUCGGAUAAAACUAUAGAAUAAAUUCAGAUUUUUUUCCGAAUUUCGUAUCAAACAUGCGAAAUUUUUCCGAAUUUCGUAUCAAACAUCCUAUAUUUCUCCGAAUUUUCCUUUUUUCUUUGCCGAAUUCUAUACGAAUUUGCCCCGAAACUCUUACGUUCUUUCAGAAUUUUUUCCGCAAAAUCUUUCAGAAUCUUGGGCAAUCUCACACAAUUUUUUUCCGAUUUCUUUCCGAAUUCGACAUCAGAGUCGGAAACUUGUGCAGAGUUUUUUUCCGAAUUCGGAAGAAAAUCGGAAAAAAAUGUUU